AUGCUGGAGGUAUCAGAAGUGCGAAUGCUGACGUGAGUAACGACAAAACGGGUGAAAAACCCGUUCGCCGAAAGACCAAGGGUUCCAGUCCAACGUUAAUCGGGGCUGGGUGAGUCGACCCCUAAGGCGAGGCCGAAAGGCGUAGUCGAUGGGAAAAUGGUUAAUAUUCCAUUACUUCUGUGUAAUGCGAUGAGAGGACGGAGAAGGCUAAAUCAGCCUGGCGUUGGUUGUCCAGGUGAAAGGAUGUAGGCAUGUAUCUUAGGCAAAUCCGGGGUACUCUAUGCUGAGAUCUGAUAGCAAGCUGUACUUGUACAGCGAAGUGGUUGAUGCCAUGCUUCCAGGAAAAGUCUCUAAGCUUCAGUUACACAGGAAUCGUACCCGAAACCGACACAGGUGGUCAGGUCGAGUAGACCAAGGCGCUUGAGAGAACUCUGCUGAAGGAACUAGGCAAAAUGGUACCGUAACUUCGGGAGAAGGUACGCUGUUGUUGGUGAUGGAACUCGCUUCCUGAGCUGACGACAGCCGCAGAAACCAGGCCGCUGCAACUGUUUAUUAAAAACAUAGCACUCUGCAAACACGAAAGUGGACGUAUAGGGUGUGAUGCCUGCCCGGUGCUGGAAGGUUAAUUGAUGGGGUUAGCGUAAGCGAAGCUCUUGAUCGAAGCCCCAGUAAACGGCGGCCGUAACUAUAACGGUCCUAAGGUAGCGAAAUUCCUUGUCGGGUAAGUUCCGACCUGCACGAAUGGCAUAAUGAUGGCGGCGCUGUCUCCAGCAGAGGCUCAGUGAAAUCGAAAUCGCUGUGAAGAUGCAGUGUACCCGCGGCUAGACGGAAAGACCCCGUGAACCUUUACUGCAGCUUGACACUGAACUUUGACCUUACUUGUGUAGGAUAGGUGGGAGGCUUUGAAGCUGGAACGCAAGUUCCAGUGGAGCCGUCCUUGAAAUACCACCCUGGUAAUGUUGAGGUUCUAACUCUGUCCCGUGAUCCGGGACGAGGACCGUGUCUGGUGGGUAGUUUGACUGGGGCGGUCUCCUCCUAAAGAGUAACGGAGGAGUACGAAGGUGCGCUCAGCGUGGUCGGAAAUCACGCGUAGAGUAUAAAGGCAAAAGCGCGCUUAACUGCGAGACCCACAAGUCGAGCAGGUACGAAAGUAGGUCUUAGUGAUCCGGUGGUUCUGUAUGGAAGGGCCAUCGCUCAACGGAUAAAAGGUACUCUGGGGAUAACAGGCUGAUACCGCCCAAGAGUUCAUAUCGACGGCGGUGUUUGGCACCUCGAUGUCGGCUCAUCUCAUCCUGGGGCUGAAGCAGGUCCCAAGGGUAUGGCUGUUCGCCAUUUAAAGAGGUACGCGAGCUGGGUUUAGAACGUCGUGAGACAGUUCGGUCCCUAUCUACCGUGGGCGCUGGAAAUUUGAGAGGAUCUGCUCCUAGUACGAGAGGACCAGAGUGGACGAACCUCUGGUGUACCGGUUGUGACGCCAGUCGCAUCGCCGGGUAGCUAUGUUCGGAAGGGAUAACCGCUGAAAGCAUCUAAGCGGGAAGCCUACCUCAAGAUAAGAUUUCCCUAGGACUUUAUGUCCUCUAAAGAGCCGUUCGAGACUAGGACGUUGAUAGGUUGGAUGUGGGGAAGCAUAGUGAUAUGUGAAGCUGACCAAUACUAAUUGCUCGUGAGGCUUGACUAUACAACACCCAAGCAGUUG
This 1696-nucleotide ribosomal RNA is filed under the name Acinetobacter baumannii. Its description in RNAcentral is "bacterial LSU rRNA". It matches the Rfam family "Bacterial large subunit ribosomal RNA", at positions 1270 to 2925 of the family's 2925-position model. Lineage: Bacteria; Pseudomonadati; Pseudomonadota; Gammaproteobacteria; Moraxellales; Moraxellaceae. The record is from RNAcentral.